This 464-nucleotide ribosomal RNA is filed under the name Streptococcus parasanguinis. RNAcentral describes it as "bacterial SSU rRNA". It matches the Rfam family "Bacterial small subunit ribosomal RNA", at positions 28 to 474 of the family's 1533-position model. The record is from RNAcentral. Lineage: Bacteria; Bacillati; Bacillota; Bacilli; Lactobacillales; Streptococcaceae.
GAUGAACGCGGGCGGCGUGCUUAAUACAUGCAAGUAGAACGCUGAAGCUUGGUGCUUGCACCGAGCGGAUGAGUUGCGAACGGGUGAGUAACGCGUAGGUAACCUGCCUCUAAGCGGGGGAUAACUAUUGGAAACGAUAGCUAAUACCGCAUAAAAGUCGAUAUCGCAUGAUAUUGAUUUGAAAGGUGCAAUUGCAUCACUAAGAGAUGGACCUGCGUUGUAUUAGCUAGUUGGUGAGGUAACGGCUCACCAAGGCGACGAUACAUAGCCGACCUGAGAGGGUGAUCGGCCACACUGGGACUGAGACACGGCCCAGACUCCUACGGGAGGCAGCAGUAGGGAAUCUUCGGCAAUGGGGGCAACCCUGACCGAGCAACGCCGCGUGAGUGAAGAAGGUUUUCGGAUCGUAAAGCUCUGUUGUAAGAGAAGAACGAGUGUGAGAGUGGAAAGUUCACACUGUGACG